This 255-nucleotide ribosomal RNA is filed under the name Salmonella enterica subsp. enterica serovar Montevideo. RNAcentral describes it as "partial 23S ribosomal RNA". It matches the Rfam family "Bacterial large subunit ribosomal RNA", at positions 12 to 266 of the family's 2925-position model. The record is from RNAcentral. Lineage: Bacteria; Pseudomonadati; Pseudomonadota; Gammaproteobacteria; Enterobacterales; Enterobacteriaceae.
CUAAGCGUACACGGUGGAUGCCCUGGCAGUCAGAGGCGAUGAAGGGCGUGCUAAUCUGCGAUAAGCGCCGGUAAGGUGAUAUGAACCGUUAUAACCGGCGAUACCCGAAUGGGGAAACCCAGUGUGAUUCGUCACACUAUCAUUAACUGAAUCCAUAGGUUAAUGAGGCGAACCGGGGGAACUGAAACAUCUAAGUACCCCGAGGAAAAGAAAUCAACCGAGAUUCCCCCAGUAGCGGCGAGCGAACGGGGAGAA